AGUCGGUUGGACAGUCGCGCACCCUCGGGUGUGAGGAAAGUCCGUGCUCCGCAGAGCAGAAUGCCGGAUAACGUCCGGUGGAGGCGACUCCAAGGAUAGUGCAACAGAAAUAAACCGCCUGCAUUUGCAGGUAAGGGUGGAAAGGCAGUGUAAGAGACUACCGGCUGUGUGGCAACAUGCAGCGCUCUGUAAACCCCAUUCGGAGCAAGGUGGGUAGGCAACAUGGGGCUGCUCGCCCCGCCUCAAAGCGCCGCUAGAGAUUAUCGGCAACGAUAAUACCAGAUAGAUGACUGUCGAAACAGAACACGGCUUAUAGACCGGCUUG
Molecule: RNase P RNA, 325 nt
Filed under: human gut metagenome
Description: Bacterial RNase P class A
Rfam family: Bacterial RNase P class A
About the family: Ribonuclease P (RNase P) is a ubiquitous endoribonuclease, found in archaea, bacteria and eukarya as well as chloroplasts and mitochondria. Its best characterised activity is the generation of mature 5'-ends of tRNAs by cleaving the 5'-leader elements of precursor-tRNAs.
Source: RNAcentral